AAUACAUCGGAACGUGCCUAGUAGUGGGGGAUAACUACUCGAAAGAGUGGCUAAUACCGCAUGAGAUCUACGGAUGAAAGCAGGGGAUCGCAAGACCUUGUGCUACUAGAGCGGCCGAUGGCAGAUUAGGUAGUUGGUGGGAUAAAAGCUUACCAAGCCGACGAUCUGUAGCUGGUCUGAGAGGACGAUCAGCCACACUGGGACUGAGACACGGCCCAGACUCCUACGGGAGGCAGCAGUGGGGAAUUUUGGACAAUGGGCGCAAGCCUGAUCCAACAAUGCCGCGUGCAGGAUGAAGGCCUUCGGGUUGUAAACUGCUUUUGUACGGAACGAAAAGCCCUGGGUUAAUACCCUGGGGUCAUGACGGUACCGUAAGAAUAAGCACCGGCUAACUACGUGCCAGCAGCCGCGGUAAUACGUAGGGUGCGAGCGUUAAUCGGAAUUACUGGGCGUAAAGCGUGCGCAGGCGGUUUUGUAAGACAGAGGUGAAAUCCCCGGGCUCAACCUGGGAACUGCCUUUGUGACUGCAAGGCUAGAGUACGGCAGAGGGGGAUGGAAUUCCGCGUGUAGCAGUGAAAUGCGUAGAUAUGCGGAGG
Molecule: ribosomal RNA, 596 nt
Filed under: uncultured bacterium
Lineage: Bacteria
Description: bacterial SSU rRNA
Rfam family: Bacterial small subunit ribosomal RNA
Source: RNAcentral